CGUAAUUGAUUAAUUUUAUUUUAAACGGGUGAUGCUGAAUUACAAGUGUGAAUUAUAAUUAAUAUUCCGUGUGUACCAAUUCGUUAAAAUGUACGGCUCAUCGGACACUCAACACGGAUCUACCACCAACCAUCCAAUAAAAGAAGGGUGGCGAUUUAGACAGACUACUUGGUAGCUGAUUAGGUAGGCUGGUACACGAAGAACGUUCGUCAUUUCUAUAUUUUAUUAGUGGGUCCUGUUUAAUAAUUUCUCCGGUAACAAAAGAGAAUCCAGUACGCGCCUGCCGGUAAACGCGGUACCUA
Molecule: non-coding RNA, 302 nt
Organism: Cinara cedri
Lineage: Eukaryota; Metazoa; Arthropoda; Insecta; Hemiptera; Aphididae
Source: the annotation of a GenBank genome assembly